RNAcentral lists this long non-coding RNA (407 nucleotides) under Elaeis guineensis (African oil palm). RNAcentral describes it as "long non-coding RNA (EGUI_LNC074353)". The record is from RNAcentral. Lineage: Eukaryota; Viridiplantae; Streptophyta; Magnoliopsida; Arecales; Arecaceae.
CCUCUCUCUGUGUAACAGCAUUUAUCCCUCUCUAAGCUUAAAUAUGCUUUGCUCGUUCGAUAAAAAUAUAAUGUUAUAGGCUCUAAAUACUACCAAGCAUAGUUUAAAACUAAUUCAUCUAUCUCAUGUUUACGUUGGAAUCUCCAAUCCACCCAAAUGAAUGCUAACAUUGAUAAAUAAAAGAUUUGCUGCUUAAUUUUUGCAAUUUUUAUGUGUAGCACAUUAAAACACACAUGCAUGCACUUGCAAAACAUUCAAAAAAGGGAAAAUUAUAUGGACUCCUUUCCAUAUAAUUCAAACAUGAAUCCACUAUAUUGACCAACAAAAAUGAUGCUGAAAUGUAGAUGCUGUCAAGCCAAAAGUAUAAAAGGAUCUAAAUGAGCUGUGACCUUAAAUGAAGGUGACUA